UACUGCAUCAGGAACUGAUUGGAUAAUAUUCAGACACCAUCAGUUCCUAAUGCAUUGCC
Molecule: microRNA precursor, 59 nt
Filed under: Scyliorhinus torazame (cloudy catshark)
Lineage: Eukaryota; Metazoa; Chordata; Chondrichthyes; Carcharhiniformes; Scyliorhinidae
Description: Sto-Mir-217-v1_pre stem-loop
Source: RNAcentral